Molecule: transfer RNA, 102 nt
Filed under: Cyanobacteria bacterium SZAS-4
Lineage: Bacteria; Bacillati; Cyanobacteriota
Description: tRNA-Pro
Source: RNAcentral
CUGGGCGUUAUAGACUUUGGUAGACAUUCAUAGACAUCCAUAGAUUUCAAUAUCUACUGCUUUGGGAGCAAUAGGUCGCAGGUUCAAAUCCUGUCGUCCCGA